UGUGUGUGUGCGCUGCGUGGUGACGUAGGCGCGUGCAUGUGUGCCCCGGUCACAGCUCCUUUCAGCAUGGCCGGAGGAGAGGUGUACUGGCAGUCGCGUGACACACACAGAUCAGACACAUAUUUCUGUGUUGCAGAUGUGCAGUAAAGAGCCAAAGACCCAGUACUGUCUCCUGCCUCUUACUUUCAUGCCAGAACACAACGCAAGAACAACAGGCGUAACACAUGAACGGGUUACACAUACUGAGAAGAGGAGGCGAGAGCAGAGAACGAGAGUGCAGCAGUUUGGUGAAAGGAACAGGUGAAGAAGAGGUGAGCAUCCAAGAGACGAGCAAGAGGACGGUUUCAAAGCAGACAUUAUGGCACAAUAAAAGCUGUAAGAGCAGAGAUUCAUUCAUAUCUUUACUAUUUUUCUUUAGCUUCUACUCCCGCUGCUUACAAUAAAUCCGAGAUAAAGAACAAACAAGAACAACUCACAUGGCAUUGAUUGUUUAGUUCAGUGUCACUCUGUGAUUGUUUGACAUUUCAUAUAAAUGUGACUCUAAAAUAUAGCCAAUAAUAUUAAAAAGCUGCUGUUACUGAGUCAAACUUGAAGGAUUAUGAUAAACUUCAGUUCUUACUGAAUCUGUAACAUUGCUUUUUUUAAAAUUGUUAAAUGACUUUUGUGUCACUGUGCACAGUGAAAAGCUCACCUGAUGUAGUGGUGAGGCCAUGUUCACCACUAGAUGGAGACAACCUGGCACAGGUUUUUCUAUGCACUAAAUUUCACCCUGAAAAGCCUUGGUGGGAAUUGUUGUUUCAUAGAAAGUAAAGGAAAACAUGUCUUGAGGACUUUUUCCAGUGUUUUCAAAAUUGUGUUUUUCACAUACACAUCAAAACUUCACACAGACAAACACACACACAAAACAACAAAAUAUGUCAAUUAGGGA
Maylandia zebra (zebra mbuna) is the source of this 928-nucleotide non-coding RNA. The record is from RefSeq and is a predicted model, not a curated record. Lineage: Eukaryota; Metazoa; Chordata; Actinopteri; Cichliformes; Cichlidae.